This 1399-nucleotide ribosomal RNA is filed under the name uncultured bacterium. RNAcentral describes it as "bacterial SSU rRNA". It matches the Rfam family "Bacterial small subunit ribosomal RNA". The record is from RNAcentral.
GAGUUUGAUCAUGGCUCAGGAUGAACGCUGGCUACAGGCUUAACACAUGCAAGUCGUGGGGAAACGGCAUUAUGUGCUUGCACAUUCUGGACGUCGACCGGCGCACGGGUGAGUAUCGCGUAUCCAACCUGCCCCUUACUUGGGGAUACCCCGUUGAAAGACGGCCUAAUACCCGAUGUGUUUCAUUGACGGCAUCCGAUAUGAAACAAAGGUUUUCCGGUAAGGGAUGGGGAUGCGUCUGAUUAGCUUGUUGGCGGGGCAACGGCCCACCAAGGCGACGAUCAGUAGGGGUUCUGAGAGGAAGGUCCCCCACAUUGGAACUGAGACACGGUCCAAACUCCUACGGGAGGCAGCAGUGAGGAAUAUUGGUCAAUGGACGCAAGUCUGAACCAGCCAAGUAGCGUGCAGGAUGACGGCCCUAUGGGUUGUAAACUGCUUUUAUGUGGGAAUAAAUUGGCGCACGUGUGCGCCAUUGCAUGUACCUCAUGAAUAAGGACCGGCUAAUUCCGUGCCAGCAGCCGCGGUAAUACGGAAGGUCCGGGCGUUAUCCGGAUUUAUUGGGUUUAAAGGGAGUGUAGGCGGUCUGUUAAGCGUGUUGUGAAAUUUAGGUGCUCAACAUUUAACUUGCAGCGCGAACUGUCAGACUUGAGUACACGCAGCGCAGGCGGAAUUCAUGGUGUAGCGGUGAAAUGCUUAGAUAUCAUGAGGAACUCCGAUCGCGAAGGCAGCCUGCGGGAGUGUUACUGACGCUUAAGCUCGAAGGUGCGGGUAUCGAACAGGAUUAGAUACCCUGGUAGUCCGCACAGUAAACGAUGGAUGCCCGCCGUUGGCGCCCUGCGCCUGCGGCCAAGCGAAAGCAUUAAGCAUCCCACCUGGGGAGUACGCCGGCAACGGUGAAACUCAAAGGAAUUGACGGGGGCCCGCACAAGCGGAGGAACAUGUGGUUUAAUUCGAUGAUACGCGAGGAACCUUACCCGGGCUUGAAUUGCAGUCGCUGCCCACAGAGACGUGGGCUUCCCUUCGGGGUGUCUGUGAAGGUGCUGCAUGGUUGUCGUCAGCUCGUGUCGUGAGAUGUUGGGUUAAGUCCCGCAACGAGCGCAACCCCUAUCUUAUGUUGCCAGCACGUGAUGGUGGGAACUCAUGAGAGACUGCCGCAGACAAUGCGGAGGAAGGCGGGGAUGACGUCAAAUCAUCAUGCCCCUUAUGACCUGGGCUACACACGUACUACAAUGGGAGUUAAUAGACGGAAGCGAGAUCGCGAGAUGGAGCAAACCCGAGAAACACUCUCUCAGUUCGGAUCGUAGGCUGCAACUCGCCUACGUGAAGUCGGAAUCGCUAGUAAUCGCAGGUCAGCAUACUGCGGUGAAUACGUUCCCGGGCCUUGCACACACCGCCCGUC